GUGGGGAAUUUUGGACAAUGGGCGCAAGCCUGAUCCAGCCAUGCCGCGUGCGGGAAGAAGGCCUUCGGGUUGUAAACCGCUUUUGUCAGGGAAGAAAUCUUCUGGGUUAAUACCUCGGGAGGAUGACGGUACCUGAAGAAUAAGCACCGGCUAACUACGUGCCAGCAGCCGCGGUAAUACGUAGGGUGCAAGCGUUAAUCGGAAUUACUGGGCGUAAAGCGUGCGCAGGCGGUUGUGCAAGACAGGUGUGAAAUCCCCGGGCUUAACCUGGGAACUGCACUUGUGACUGCACAGCUGGAGUGCGGCAGAGGGGGAUGGAAUUCCGCGUGUAGCAGUGAAAUGCGUAGAUAUGCGGAGGAACACCGAUGGCGAAGGCAAUCCCCUGGGCCUGCACUGACGCUCAUGCACGAAAGCGUGGGGAGCAAACAGGAUUAGAAACCCUAGUAGUCC
This 450-nucleotide ribosomal RNA is filed under the name uncultured Comamonadaceae bacterium. Its description in RNAcentral is "bacterial SSU rRNA". It matches the Rfam family "Bacterial small subunit ribosomal RNA", at positions 354 to 796 of the family's 1533-position model. Lineage: Bacteria; Pseudomonadati; Pseudomonadota; Betaproteobacteria; Burkholderiales; Comamonadaceae. The record is from RNAcentral.